AUACAUAUGUCACGAAGUGACUUUGAGGGCGGAACCAAAAGUGAGAGGAGAAGUUCCGCCCGGACCGAAAUGUGUAAGCCCUUGUCACUUCCGGAAACUCCGGACGCCCCAAAUCAAGGGAAAUCUUCAGCAGGUGUGUUCAAUGACGUGGCGAUUGCAGACGGGGCAGUUUGGGAGUAUAAAGAGAGCAUUGAGGAUACAGGAAGGAGUGUUGUUUUGCCUCCCAAGGAACGCCACGAGUGAGACGGAGUGUUUUGGGCGCUGGAGUAGGGCGAAGCAGAUGAGAGCAAUUGUGGAGUCGCUAAGCGAAUUGGAGGAUUUGAAAACGGCUACUGGAACAGGUUUGCCAAAGCGAAGUUUGUGGAAAGAAGUCGUACUCACCCGUGUCUGUUGUAUGAAGGUUCCGCAGGGAAAUAGUGCCAUUGUGGAACAACGAAAACACUUCCGGGCGUCUGUACGAAGCUGGGGAGAGAAAGAGAGCGGGAGAAGAUCAGUAUCACGAAGACUCUUGUUGAGUGGCCCCAUCGUGGAGGACGAGACGAGUGGGUGAGCCGAAGUAGAGUGGGGGUGAAUGGAUGUUAUUUGGCUGUGGCCACACCGUAAAGUUUGGAGCACUUACCGUGCCAGCGACUGUAAACUCCUCCAGGACGAAAUCCGACCGGGCGUGGAGUACCGACCUUAAAAGUCACUGAAGUGUGUGUAGUGCAGUGGGUGAGUCUGUCUUUGACGUGUGUACACCGAAGUUUUGCAGUGCUGUGCCGUGUCCCUGUUGUCUGUACUCGCCCUCCAGGCCGAGAAAAGUUCCUGUUGGAGAGAACGUAGGCUGCCGUGGCGAUGCCCACCUAUCCCACCUACGCCCGCCUAUAACUCCGUUCCCCGUACCUAGCCUGAAGGAGGUGAAGCGUGAAUGCAAAACAAGGGACUUGUGUGUUACCUUGUACUUACCUAGGAGGUCUAUGGGAGUGGAGGAGCUGUCCAGACGCUGGAGAAGAGAAGGGCACCACGGGAAAUCAAGCCGCUAAGGAAGGACUUAGGAUCAGUCAGGAGAUUGGUGGGAGUUCUGUGAAAGGACGAAAGAGCCCUUUGCCCCCCCACCUCCCCUUGUGAUUACUUACCAACGACCUCCAGAUUUCUCAGGCCCAGUCUCCUCCUGUCAAGAGACG
This is a long non-coding RNA of Cyprinus carpio carpio, 1163 nucleotides long. Lineage: Eukaryota; Metazoa; Chordata; Actinopteri; Cypriniformes; Cyprinidae. The record is from Ensembl.